CAGCCGAGCGGUAGAGUCCUUCGGGACUUUGAGAGCGGCGUACGGGUGCGUAACACGUGUGCAACCUACCUUUAUCAGGGGAAUAGCCUUUCGAAAGGAAGAUUAAUACCCCAUAAUAUAUUGAAUGGCAUCAUUUAAUAUUGAAAACUCCGGUGGAUAGAGAUGGGCACGCGCAAGAUUAGAUAGUUGGUGAGGUAACGGCUCACCAAGUCAAUGAUCUUUAGGGGUCCUGAGAGGGAGAUCCCCCACACUGGUACUGAGACACGGACCAGACUCCUACGGGAGGCAGCAGUGAGGAAUAUUGGACAAUGGGUGAGAGCCUGAUCCAGCCAUCCCGCGUGAAGGAUGACGGUCCUAUGGAUUGUAAACUUCUUUUGUAUAGGAAUAAACCUACUCUCGUGAGAGUAGCUGAAGGUACUAUACGAAUAAGCACCGGCUAACUCCGUGCCAGCAGCCGCGGUAAUACGGAGGGUGCAAGCGUUAUCCGGAUUUAUUGGGUUUAAAGGGUCCGU
Molecule: ribosomal RNA, 512 nt
Filed under: bacterium 96-L049640-122-012-H12
Lineage: Bacteria
Description: bacterial SSU rRNA
Rfam family: Bacterial small subunit ribosomal RNA
Source: RNAcentral